UUUCAUUCUCUAUUCAUGUCCCAAACUUCCUUUUUUCUCUCUUCUUUCACAAGUCAAGAGACAAUGGUGAUGGAGAUACACAACCACUCCCAACGACGGUAAAUGAUGGAUUUCGUGCCCAAUAACAAUGAAGACCAGUUUUAAAGGUAAGAUGGUGGUAUUGAUGAUACUCAACAUCCCUAGCCCAACCUCCGGCGAUGGCGGCUAGGGUUCCGAUGAAGAUUCCAGUAAAACAUUUUCACUUGCAUGUUCUCUCUUUGUGUAAAUCGGUAGUGUUAAGGUUAGGAGGUGCGAGAGUGCAAGCUUUUUUGAGUUUUUUAUAGUUCUAAGUGUUCGGACGAAACCCCUGAUCAAUGAGUGUUCCAAGGGGGUAACGUCGUGGGGUCCGGGGCAACACCCCUGAUAGCAGGGUCCAAGGUGCCCUUACUGAGAUCGAGCUGAAAAUUCCUUUUAUUUUCGAGAUGGAAAAUUAGGGCAUUUGGAGGGAAUUUUUUUGUUUAAAAUAAUAACUGCUGUGGUUUUCAUCCCCAAUUCGAAAUCAUCUUUUGUCACAGAUUCUCUGUUCACAAAUUUACAAUCAAACCAUAUAGUAAUUUUUGUUCUCAGUCUAAGUUGUAUUCGAUUAAAUUUUUUCAAAUGAACCACCAAAAUAGUUCGAACUGAAAAAAUGAUUUAAGGCAUCAUCCUUGCAAUCUUAAUUUCCCCAACAUACAACUUUACAUGUUAUCACAAAUUCAAAUCGCAUUUCUCCAUUCAUAUAACUUGAACAUUUAAAAAUAUACUAACAAG
This 789-nucleotide long non-coding RNA is filed under the name Helianthus annuus (common sunflower). The record is from RNAcentral. Lineage: Eukaryota; Viridiplantae; Streptophyta; Magnoliopsida; Asterales; Asteraceae.